RNAcentral lists this ribosomal RNA (720 nucleotides) under Clavulina sp. MHM342. Its description in RNAcentral is "eukaryotic LSU rRNA". The stretch from base 225 to 378 matches the Rfam family "5.8S ribosomal RNA". The record is from RNAcentral. Lineage: Eukaryota; Fungi; Basidiomycota; Agaricomycetes; Cantharellales; Hydnaceae.
AGGAUCAUUAAUGAGUUUGUGAUUGGGUUUGAUGCUGGCAGCCAAAUUUUUUUGGAUGCAUGUGCUCGCCCUAGCAAUCAUAUUCCAAACACCUGUGCACAUUUUNGAGGGAGUCAAGUUGAUUUGCUGUUUGUUGGUGAUCAUCUUGCAUUUCCUCGAAUUACUAUACACUGUUGAUAAUAAUGAACGUGGUUGUGCCGCAAGGCCAUUAAUACAAUAUAUAUAACUUUUAACAACGGAUCUCUUGGCUCUCGCAUCGAUGAAGAACGCAGCGAAAUGCGAUAAGUAAUGUGAAUUGCAGAAUUCAGUGAAUCAUCGAAUCUUUGAACGCACCUUGCGCUCCCUGGUAUUCCGGGGAGCACGCCUGUUCGAGUGUCGUGACAUUUUUCAAGCUUGGAUGGACUUUUCCGUCCUUAGUUUGGUCGUUGGGCUCUGCCGUGACCGUGACAGGUAACGGCUGGUCUUAAAAGCAUUAGCUGGCCCGUGUGUGGCACUGGUUCUACUCAGCGUGAUAACAGUCUGAUCGUUGAGGACAUCUUUUGGGAUGGCCGGUCUGCAUAUCUGGGUUGCUUCUAAUCUGUAUUUGAUUUUUCAGCUUUGACCUCGAAUCAGGUGGGACCACCCGCUGAACUUAAGCAUAUCAAUAAGCGGAGGAAAAGAAACUAACAAGGAUUCCCCUAGUAACGGCGAGUGAAGAGGGAAGAGCUCAAAUUUAAAAUC